UUUUUCUUCUGUAGAGGCAAGGUCUUACUCUGUUGCCCUGGCUGGAGUGCAGUGGUGCGAUCACAGCUCAUUGCAGCCUUGAGGACUGUGGGCUCAGGAGAGAGAAGGAAGUCCUGUUUAUUGUUGCUUCCAAGGUACUCUGCAAUAUCUGACACAGCAUGCGGUAAAUAAUACCUAUUGAGGGCAUGGGUGAGAUCUUAGAGCCACGUUUAAUCACUCACUUUGUCCGGUUUUUUUUUUUUUUGAGAUGCAGUCUUGCUCUGUCACCCAGGCUGUAGUCCAGUGGUGUGAUCUCAGGGCUUCUCACCAAGGCCGAGAUGGACCGGAUACUACAUGGCCUAGACAAGGUGGCUGAGGAGUGGGCCCAGGGCACCUUCAAACUCAACUCCAAUAAUGAGGACAUCCACACAACCAAUGAGCGCCGCCUGAAGGUUCACUGAG
RNAcentral lists this long non-coding RNA (441 nucleotides) under Theropithecus gelada (gelada). RNAcentral describes it as "lncRNA (ENSTGEG00000013456.1)". Lineage: Eukaryota; Metazoa; Chordata; Mammalia; Primates; Cercopithecidae. The record is from RNAcentral.